GCCGACGUAGCUCAGUGGCAGAGCAGCUCACUCGUAACGAGCAGGUCACUGGUUCAAUCCCAGUCGUCGGCUCCA
Molecule: transfer RNA, 75 nt
Filed under: Actinomycetota bacterium
Lineage: Bacteria; Bacillati; Actinomycetota
Also listed under: 2 other names
Description: tRNA-Thr
Rfam family: tRNA
About the family: Transfer RNA (tRNA) molecules are approximately 80 nucleotides in length.
Source: RNAcentral